RNAcentral lists this ribosomal RNA (253 nucleotides) under uncultured bacterium. RNAcentral describes it as "partial 16S ribosomal RNA". It matches the Rfam family "Bacterial small subunit ribosomal RNA", at positions 524 to 776 of the family's 1533-position model. The record is from RNAcentral.
UACGUAGGAGGCAAGCGUUGUCCGGAAUUACUGGGCGUAAAGCGCGUGUAGGUGGUGGGACAAGUCUGCUGUGAAAGCGCCUGGCUUAACCGGGCGAGGUCGGCGGAAACUGUUCGACUCGAGGACGGUAGAGGGGGGUGGAAUUCCCGGUGUAGUGGUGAAAUGCGUAGAGAUCGGGAGGAACACCCGUGGCGAAGGCGGCCAACUGGGCCGGACCUGACGCUGAGGCGCGAAGGCGUGGGGAGCGAACGGG